RNAcentral lists this ribosomal RNA (445 nucleotides) under Aeromonas salmonicida. Its description in RNAcentral is "bacterial SSU rRNA". It matches the Rfam family "Bacterial small subunit ribosomal RNA", at positions 22 to 461 of the family's 1533-position model. Lineage: Bacteria; Pseudomonadati; Pseudomonadota; Gammaproteobacteria; Aeromonadales; Aeromonadaceae. The record is from RNAcentral.
GCUCAGAUUGAACGCUGGCGGCAGGCCUAACACAUGCAAGUCGAGCGGCAGCGGGAAAGUAGCUUGCUACUUUUGCCGGCGAGCGGCGGACGGGUGAGUAAUGCCUGGGGAUCUGCCCAGUCGAGGGGGAUAACAGUUGGAAACGACUGCUAAUACCGCAUACGCCCUACGGGGGAAAGGAGGGGACCUUCGGGCCUUUCGCGAUUGGAUGAACCCAGGUGGGAUUAGCUAGUUGGUGGGGUAAUGGCUCACCAAGGCGACGAUCCCUAGCUGGUUUGAGAGGAUGAUCAGCCACACUGGAACUGAGACACGGUCCAGACUCCUACGGGAGGCAGCAGUGGGGAAUAUUGCACAAUGGGGGAAACCCUGAUGCAGCCAUGCCGCGUGUGUGAAGAAGGCCUUCGGGUUGUAAAGCACUUUCAGCGAGGAGGAAAGGUUGGCGCCU